GACGAACGCUGGCGGCGUGCUUAGCACAUGCAAGUCGAACGGAAAGGCCUGUCCUUCCUUGUGUUGGACGGGUACUCGAGUGGCGAACGGGUGAGUAACACGUGAGUGAUCUGCCCCCAACUUGGGUAUAAGCCUGGGAAACUGUGUCUAAUUCCCGAUAGGACUGCAGGGUGGUGCCUGUGGUGGAAAACGAUUUUCUAGUGGUUGGGGAUGAGCUCGCGGACUAUCAGCUUGUUGGUGGGGUAAUGGCCUACCAAGGCGGCGACGGGUAGCCGGCCUGAGAGGGGGGACGGCCACAUUGGGACUGGGAUACGGCCCAGACUCCUGCGGGAGGCAGCAGUGGGGAAGAGUGCGCAAUGGGCGGAAGCCUGAUGCAGCGACGCCGCGUGGGGGAUGACGGCCUUCGGGUUGUAAACUCCUUUCGACCGCGAGGAAGCCGCCUGGUUGGAAGGGUGGUGACGGUAGUGGUAGAAGAAGCACCGGCUAACUACGUG
RNAcentral lists this ribosomal RNA (494 nucleotides) under uncultured bacterium. RNAcentral describes it as "partial 16S ribosomal RNA". It matches the Rfam family "Bacterial small subunit ribosomal RNA", at positions 28 to 507 of the family's 1533-position model. The record is from RNAcentral.